Suricata suricatta (meerkat) is the source of this 1674-nucleotide long non-coding RNA. RefSeq lists it as uncharacterized. The transcript is spliced from 2 exons. Lineage: Eukaryota; Metazoa; Chordata; Mammalia; Carnivora; Herpestidae. The record is from RefSeq and is a predicted model, not a curated record.
GGGGAAGGCUGGAUGGGACCUGCGGCUGGCUGGGGAACGCCCCCCCCUUCCAUGGCCGCCGGCGCAUCUCCACCACGGAGGUGCUCCGGGACCGGCUCUGGGAAGGCUGGGACAGCCGGUGGUGAGGGCUGGAUAGGACCUGCAUCCUUACACAUCCUGCUCCAAGGGUCCUGUGCUUGGCUGGAGAAGGAGACCCAACGACCAGGGAGCAGAGAAGUGUGGCUGUGGGCCUCAUGGUCUGAGAGCUGGAAAAGACCAGAGAGAAGAAAAUGAUGAACAGAACGACAUGGAACCUCUCCCAGGGAUGAGUUUAUGUAACUCCCUCUGCAGUUCUCUGCUUAAGGAUGAUCUGGGGAUGAGGCAGCGACCCGGUAAGCCAGGUGUUGCGUAGGAAUGAAGUCCAGCCUGUGAAGCCCAGCUUGAAGAUCUGGACUGCGCUGCCCAGGAAGACAUUUCUCCCAGAGGCUGUCCCAGUGUUCGAAGAUCAGCAGCUCUUUGAAACCCUUAUUUUUCACUCUUAUCAUCUGUGGACAUCCCUCUUGUGCCAUACCAGCCCUUCCAUGCAGUCUGUUAUCCACACUGGAAAGAAAGGAUGUAACCACUUGAGUACUAAACCUCACUCUUCGCCAGCCUGCUUCUAAUGCUGUUUGCUAGGCCGAUCUAGUCACAGGUGCCACUCCCCAGCUAGGAUGAUGAGCUGUGUGCUGCUAACCACCUAAUCCAAGACAUCAGGUGGCACAGUUUUACAGGGUGGUGUAUCAUAGUAUCUCCACCCCUACCCAAGAACUUUGGCAUUUUGAGCCAUUGAUGGAAGGAUUUCUAAACCGAGGUGAUCUGACACCUAGACUAAUUGAGCAAAAUGACUUAAUGGAAGACCCAAGCAUGCAAUUAUAAACUCAUGUUGGCUUGGGGAGCCUGGAUUAUGUCAGAGGCGGCUUUGUGGCAGGCAGGCAGGUGGACAGUCCUCAGAGCAGCAGCCAGAGAACUCAAGGCUCAUGCCUGCCCCUGACAUUCACUGUUCUGUGACCUUGGGAAAGUCACUUAUCCUUGUGAGGAUUAAUGAGUUAAUCACAGGAGAACUACUUUGAGAUUGUUGGCUGACAGGUGCUGUAUAAGUACAAAGUAUUAUUAUUAAAAUGUCACUGUGCUGGCUGCAUUUGCUCUUGAGGGCACAGAGGCAGGAAUGACAGCCCUGGGUGAAUGGAAAAGGAUUAUGUAAAACAAAGAAGUAGAGUUCUGCCAUAGAAAGUUCUGUCUGCUAACACUACUUCUCUUCAUCUCUAGCUAGCCCCAAUUAACAAUCUUCUGACUUACCUCUGACAGAGGCAAGUUUUAUUUUCCUAAAAUAAACUGUGCAAAACAAUUUUAGCCAGAGGAUCUGUGUCCAUAGAUUUUCCCGGUCCUUAGGAUAGCCUUGAAAGUAGAGGCCAGAAAAACUUUUCUUAACAUCUCCAACACCUCCAUAUUUCUCCCCGUCCAAAACUCAGAAACUUCCUCUGACUUUUCCCCACACAUAAACAGAGAUAAAAUAUAGAGAAUUGGUGAGCUUGGGUCUCAAACAGUAAUGGUCAAAAUUCAAACUCUGUCAACAAAAUCUUCCAUCUUCUAUUUUUAAUUUUAAGUUCAUCUUAAUUCCUGAAAAAAUUAAAUAAAUAAGGUAUUGUUUGUGAAAAA